GACGAACGCUGGCGGCGUGCUUAACACAUGCAAGUCGAACGGAAAGGCCCUGCUUUUGUGGGGUGCUCGAGUGGCGAACGGGUGAGUAACACGUGAGUAACCUGCCCUUGACUUUGGGAUAACUUCAGGAAACUGGGGCUAAUACCGGAUAGGAGCUCCUGCUGCAUGGUGGGGGGUGGAAAGUUUCGGCGGUUGGGGAUGGACUCGCGGCUUAUCAGCUUGUUGGUGGGGUAGUGGCUUACCACGGCUUUGACGGGUAGCCGGCCGGAGAGGGUGACCGGCCACAUUGGGACUGAGAUACGGCCCAGACUCCUACGGGAGGCAGCAGUGGGGAAUAUUGCACAAGGGGCGGAGGCCUGAGGCAGCAACGCCGCGGGCGGGAGGACGGCCUUCGGGUUGUAAACCGCUUUCGCCUGUGACGAAGCGUGAGUGACGGUAAUGGGUAAAGAAGCACCGGCUAACUACGUG
Molecule: ribosomal RNA, 468 nt
Filed under: uncultured bacterium
Lineage: Bacteria
Description: partial 16S ribosomal RNA
Rfam family: Bacterial small subunit ribosomal RNA
Source: RNAcentral